GAUGAACGCUGGCGGUGUGCCUAAUACAUGCAAGUCGAGCGGAGCUUAUCCUUCGGGGUAAGCUUAGCGGCGGACGGGUGAGUAACACGUAGGCAACCUACCCUGUAGACUGGGAUAACUACCGGAAACGGUAGCUAAUACCGGAUAAUUCCUUUCUUCUCCUGGAGAAAGGAUGAAAGGCGGAGCAAUCUGCUACUAGAGGAUGGGCCUGCGGCGCAUUAGCUAGUUGGUGGGGUAACGGCCCACCAAGGCGACGAUGCGUAGCCGACCUGGGAGGGUGAACGGCCACACGGGGACUGAGACACGGCCCAGACUCCUACGGGAGGCAGCAGUAGGGAAUCUUCCGCAAUGGGCGAAAGCCUGACGGAGCAACGCCGCGUGAGUGAUGAAGGUUUUCGGAUCGUAAAGCUCUGUUGCCAGGGAAGAACGUCCGGUAGAGUAACUGCUACCGGAGUGACGGUACCUGAGAAGAAAGCCCCGGCUAACUACGUGCCAGCCGCCGCGGUAA
Molecule: ribosomal RNA, 508 nt
Filed under: uncultured bacterium
Lineage: Bacteria
Description: partial 16S ribosomal RNA
Rfam family: Bacterial small subunit ribosomal RNA
Source: RNAcentral